CGGCAAUUUAUGUCGAUGGCUAAUGAACGGAAUUCAAUUAGCAUCGAGAAUCACACGCGGAAACAGGAAAUUUUACGCAGCUCUCUAGGUUGAGCCUGUGGUUACGAAGGAUCCCGGGUUAAAAGCAUAAUGCCAGCAGACGUAGCAACAACAACCAUCACCACAUCACCAACAGUAGCAGAAAUAUCAUCACUAUCUCUCGUCCAGCUCCUCAGCCGUCACUGAUCGUAUCACCUUGACCACCACAACCGGCAACAGCAGCACCAAUCCAAAAGCAGUCAUACGCCGGAAGCGUUUCUCGCAUCACCCCAUCUGUUAUAAGUUGUAAUUUUUUUUAUCUCCCACGGCGGAAAUGGCUCAGUUUUCGAUCCGGAUGCGAAAAACUUAAAAAAGGUUCCAUGAAAUCGGCAAGGAAUCCAACGAGCGAAUGAGCCGCAACCCAAUCAAUAUCUGUGGAUUGGAGGCAACAUUGGAGAAGGUUAUCUGGCCACGGAUUCAUCGGAACAACUGAGCCAAAGUUUGCUGAAAGAAUCUCGGGAACGCCUACAGUAGGAUUCUGAGCUGCAAGAGCGUAUAAGCGAUCAUAAAAAAUACCAAUUUCUGCUGUCAUUGAAGCAAAGGUGUUGCUGAGUUAAAUGAAAUGUGUCACUCCGUGCGAGGAGUAGUCAUCGUUUGGUCGCAUUCUUGCUUGUUUGCCCAUUGAAUCCCGGUUGGGGGGAAUAAUAACCUUGAGAACGCAGUUCAGCGUUACUGAUCUUGUAGCAGCUUUAGCUGCAUAUUCCGGUACCUUUUCGGAAAUUAUGCAGUUGGACGUCGGUCAACAUCGCCUGAUGGCGCACCUAACCACUCAGUGGAAAGAAAAAUUCGGAUUAUGUAACUAUUUUAGGAUGGUAACAUAUUACCUACUUCAACCAGGGUGAAGAUAACGAAUCCUACUUGGAUGUGGUCAUGGAAAUUUUCAAUGUAGGACUGAGUACCCGAACGUAGAAAAAGACAUACCAUUAACAGUCCUAAUUCUGUGCAUUUUGGAAGAUUUUUCUUCAUUCAUAAGUUUA
Uranotaenia lowii is the source of this 1055-nucleotide long non-coding RNA. RefSeq lists it as uncharacterized. The transcript has 4 exons. Lineage: Eukaryota; Metazoa; Arthropoda; Insecta; Diptera; Culicidae. The record is from RefSeq and is a predicted model, not a curated record.